This 497-nucleotide ribosomal RNA is filed under the name uncultured bacterium. RNAcentral's name for it is "partial 16S ribosomal RNA". It matches the Rfam family "Bacterial small subunit ribosomal RNA", at positions 28 to 507 of the family's 1533-position model. The record is from RNAcentral.
GAUGAACGCUGGCGGCGUGCCUAAUACAUGCAAGUAGAACGCUGAAGGAAGGAGCUUGCUCUUUCCGGAUGAGUUGCGAACGGGUGAGUAACGCGUAGGUAACCUGCCUGGUAGCGGGGGGUAACUAUUGGAAACGAUAGCUAAUACCGCAUAACAGUAGAUGUUGCAUGAUAUCUACUUAAAAGGUGCAAUUGCACCACUACCAGAUGGACCUGCGUUGUAUUAGCUAGUUGGUGAGGUAACGGCUCACCAAGGCGACGAUACAUAGCCGACCUGAGAGGGUGAUCGGCCACACUGGGACUGAGACACGGCCCAGACUCCUACGGGAGGCAGCAGUAGGGAAUCUUCGGCAAUGGACGGAAGUCUGACCGAGCAACGCCGCGUGAGUGAAGAAGGUUUUCGGAUCGUAAAGCUCUGUUGUAAGAGAAGAACGAGUGUGAGAGUGGAAAGUUCACACUGUGACGGUAUCGUAUCAGAAAGGGACGGCUAACUACGUG